This is a long non-coding RNA of Ornithodoros turicata, 1983 nucleotides long. RefSeq lists it as uncharacterized. NCBI's taxonomy places the organism in Eukaryota, Metazoa, Arthropoda, Arachnida, Ixodida, Argasidae. The transcript has 3 exons. The record is from RefSeq and is a predicted model, not a curated record.
UCCUCGAACAUUCUCUUAUAAGUUGUAGUCUUCCGUUUCCGGCGAGACAAUCUAGGGGCGAGAAGGGCGUUAUCGUGAUGAUCGUGUCGUGAAAUCGCCGACACAGCAACAAGGCUGGACGAUCAAAUGCUCGACUAUUGGCUCACGGCGCGUGAAAACCAUUCCCAAUGACAUUCCCAUCGUUCACGCCUUCUUUAUUUGGCGACCAAUAACCUCCUUGCAAAGAAGAUUUUCAGGCAUGGAGAGAAGAAAUGCAGGAUGCAGCCAAGAGUCAUUUUACUAAAGGCACAGGGAGAAGAACGUCAAAGGAAAAAGGUCCAUAAAAUCAUAAGGUUCCGUCAGGCAUGGGGCCGUCCUGCAUUGAUGAUUCGUCUGCAUUGUUCCAGACUGGCAAGGUUCCAGGACACAACGGGACAUUCCUAAGGGGCCCCCUACCAUCUCGCUCAUGAUCAGAGCUGACAAUUAAGGCAUAAUGGUUUCAAAUUUCCAAAGAUUCUCUAAGAAGUGGCAUGCAUUUCAGAAUUUGUAUGAGUACAACACAACAGCGUGUACAGCCCGAGACAAAAGUUCACGGCUCUACGCCUUUCUUCAUCGGAGCGGCCCCCUGCAAGCUACCAGCAAAAGAUCGAAUAAGAAACGGGUCUAUCUCUCAAUAUGUGCGUCCGCUCUUGUUUGAUGCUAGGGUGUCACUCCAAUGGAGAAAUGUGACACCAUGGUGGUCCGUAAAGAUUUGUACCAACCUGCACAUCGUACAACCCCGACAACUAACAAACACUGCUCGGUAAGGUCAGUGUUCCAAUUUGAGAUUUUGCUGCCUAUUUCUUCCCAAAAGGCUGCUCUUGCUUGUGAACUCCGGUGUACCAAGACAAGUUCAGAACAAAGAAUUUAUAGUUAGACUUUGAAGGCAGUAGUCAACAUAAAUAAGUUUUACCUCUGAGAUGAUUGCCCAUUCAAGGCAACAACAAACUCGUAGGUUCACCACACCAUCUAAACUUCCUCGGCCUGUUACAGCUUGUUUCUGUCCACAAGGAGUGGUGACAUGAACUAUCAUUCAUCGAGCAUUUGUCAGGAGGUUGUUAGAGGAAUCAGUCAGACAGAUGUGCUUCAGAUGUUUUUUUCUUUUUUUCAGUUUUCAGGUUUUUAUUGUUAUUCCAUGACAGUAUACACUGAUACUGAUAGUGGGCAAGCCCUGUUGAACAGUCCAAGACACAGUCAGUGCAAAUGUCUACACAAUUUGAGGGGAACAGAAGUACCAAGAACACAUGACAAGUAUUAGAAACAAAUAGCAAAUGAACAAAGAGAAAUGCAAAUCAUCAAAAAGUAAUUGCAUGUCACCCUACGUAUCAGCAGAAAAGUCCUGUUUGAUGGUGUUUUUGAAGGAUGCCAGAUUAUUGUUGGGACGAAUGCGUACACCAGUGUUUCUCAAACUGUGGGUCAUGAGCUGUUGAAAGAUUCAUUGUUUCAUGCCCAACCAGAGGGUAAAGCUCAAUUCAUGUUCAAAGCAUUAAUGGACUGUCAUGUGUUGUCAAAUGACAGUGUUGCAUUCAUGAGUAAAUGAUGUAGAUGUGAAGGUCCUUAAACAUGAAUUCAACAGAAAUCUUCUGGCUGGGUGUAUUUCCUGCUGCUUGGCACACUCUUGGAAUCUGGUUGAAAACUGCCCUGCUACUAUGGCUUUCUUCACACCAUCUGUGCAUCAAUAUUCGAACAGAUUGGGACAAAAGUUUAUGGAGGACCAGGGUGUUGCAUUUCUUCAUGGGAGUGACACUCUAGCAGCAAACAGGAGUGGCCACACACAUUGAGAGGUGGACAGAACAGCCAGUCACCUGUUUCUUAUUCGAUAUCUUCCUGCUAGCCAGCAGGGGGCCGCUCCGAUGAGGUGCAAGGCAACAGGCUCAUUGAUAUAGUGUCCAGCUGGAAUUUGUGGUAUUUUGGAACGAUGUAUUGCUAACGAGACCAGUAAAAAUAUCCAAAACUGGACCUGGA